CAUGGCUCAGAUUGAACGCUGGCGGCAGGCCUAACACAUGCAAGUCGAGCGGUAGAGAGGUGCUUGCAUCUCUUGAGAGCGGCGGACGGGUGAGUAAUGCCUAGGAAUCUGCCUAGUGGUGGGGGAUAACGUUCGGAAACGGACGCUAAUACCGCAUACGUCCUACGGGAGAAAGCGGGGGAUCUUCGGACCUCGCGCCAUUAGAUGAGCCUAGGUCGGAUUAGCUAGUUGGUGAGGUAAUGGCUCACCAAGGCGACGAUCCGUAACUGGUCUGAGAGGAUGAUCAGUCACACUGGAACUGAGACACGGUCCAGACUCCUACGGGAGGCAGCAGUGGGGAAUAUUGGACAAUGGGCGAAAGCCUGAUCCAGCCAUGCCGCGUGUGUGAAGAAGGUCUUCGGAUUGUAAAGCACUUUAAGUUGGGAGGAAGGGUAGUAACCUAAUACGUUGCUACUUUGACGUUACCGACAGAAUAAGCACCGGCUAACUUCGUG
Molecule: ribosomal RNA, 494 nt
Filed under: uncultured bacterium
Lineage: Bacteria
Description: bacterial SSU rRNA
Rfam family: Bacterial small subunit ribosomal RNA
Source: RNAcentral